RNAcentral lists this long non-coding RNA (1205 nucleotides) under Mus spicilegus (steppe mouse). RNAcentral describes it as "lncRNA (ENSMSIG00000020504.1)". The record is from RNAcentral. Lineage: Eukaryota; Metazoa; Chordata; Mammalia; Rodentia; Muridae.
CUGAGAGUAGCCACCUCACAACCCGGCCCUCAGUGCGCAGUGCCGCAGUGCCGGUGAACAGCCAGGGAUGCUGAAGCCCGAGUCGGCGAAACCCUGGGCUCGCGACUCCGCGGCAGCCCCGCGGGUUCCAGCGGCUGCGGCGCCCGGCCCUGCGCUCAUGAGGGCAGCGGGACGCGGAAAAACUCCGUUGCCCUGCUUUUGAGCGCCAAGGUGCUGCUCGCCCUUGUCAGAGCCGAGCCAGCAUUCAAGCGCAAAAGCCAUCUGGCCCUCGGGAAUGCCCUGCUACUGGCGACCCCAGGCCCGCACAGCACAGAGGACUUCGGCAAUGCUCCGCCAUCAGCAACUCUCCGGCUGGGCAUCCCGCAACUCGACCUGGAAAGUCCCAGACUGAAGACAUGGGAAAAAAUUUUAAAACAAGUAUCUCCUGUUCAUUUUAUGGAUGAGAGGACUUCACUCACUGAAUCUGCCAUGUUUGUCCGAAUUCCAGCUGUUUAUCUUGCAAGUUUCUUUAAGAUUAAUUCAAUGCAAAUGGAACUCUGAGAAUCAUGGGAAUACCUGCCAGAGCCCUUAUUAAUGCCUUCACUUAAACACUCCUUUGCCAGAGAGUCAUUAAUUUGCUAAAAGAAAAGUGCUAAAGCAGCCCUUUGCCUACAGCAGCUUUGAGAUGGCUGCCCAAUUAGUUCAGUAGCAUUCUGAUCCUCUUUCUAGGCCCCGUGGCCCUCUGAGGACACAAGAAGGCUCCGAUGAUAACCUGGCAACCCAGGUAGAAACUCAGCCAAGUGUGAGUGUUUGAAGCUGCAGUUUGGCUGCCAUCGUGUCGGCAGAAAGAAAGAAUUCAGGCUCCGUGUCAUCCAGUACAAAGGAUAAAAACGGAUUCAACCGGAAAUUCAAUGUGGCACCACAUAUGGGAUACAUGAGUGCGGUUAUACAACAGGCCACAGAUUUUUUUUUGAACAGUCUCCUACAUGUGAUGCCGAGGACAUGUGUAACCAUCAUAACGUCUCUAGGAAUCUGUAUUUAAUUUGAGUUGGGGUGGUGGCAGGGAUUGGAGAUCUGAAGCCGCCACAGGUUUGUGGCAGAUGGCUCUGUGUCAGCUAUGACAAGCAGCCAGGCUCGGCUUCCUCUGCAGAUUUUCUUUUCUCUCUGAUCAGGUAAAUAUGGGCACACUCUGGAAAGUUCUUCAGAUUCUGCCUUAGGCUGCAAGU